This is a long non-coding RNA of Sinocyclocheilus grahami, 286 nucleotides long. RefSeq lists it as uncharacterized. The record is from RefSeq and is a predicted model, not a curated record. The transcript has 3 exons. Lineage: Eukaryota; Metazoa; Chordata; Actinopteri; Cypriniformes; Cyprinidae.
CUUCAGUACUCUAACAGAAAUCAAUAUGGGAGCUUUACCUGCAAGCCCAUGUGAGAUUGCUGUAUGAUUCAUCUGCUCCAUGAAAAUGACCACCUCUGCAGAUGAUUUAUUUAGUUCCCAGAUAUGUGUAUAUUCUAUAAUCUAUCACAAUUGCUUCCUCUCCUCUUCGUGAGGAUUGUGCUUUGUGUGGCAGCAUGCAAUAAUGCAGAAUAUGAAAUUAAUGGAAAGUGUUGCCCAAUGUGUCAUCAAGGUAAGAUACUUAAAGGAGUCAUAUAUGAUACUUUUU